Molecule: ribosomal RNA, 253 nt
Filed under: uncultured bacterium
Lineage: Bacteria
Description: partial 16S ribosomal RNA
Rfam family: Bacterial small subunit ribosomal RNA
Source: RNAcentral
UACGUAGGGUGCGAGCGUUGUCCGGAUUUAUUGGGCGUAAAGAGCUCGUAGGCGGUUUGUCGCGUCGGCCGUGAAAUCUCCACGCUUAACGUGGAGCGUGCGGUCGAUACGGGCAGGCUUGAGUUCGGUAGGGGAGACUGGAAUUCCUGGUGUAGCGGUGAAAUGCGCAGAUAUCAGGAGGAACACCGGUGGCGAAGGCGGGUCUCUGGGCCGAUACUGACGCUGAGGAGCGAAAGCGUGGGGAGCAAACAGG